AGGAUGAACGCUGGCGGCGUGCCUAAUACAUGCAAGUCGAGCGGUAAGGCCCCUUCGGGGGUACACGAGCGGCGGACGGCUGAGUAACACGUAGGAACGUACCCCAAAGUGAGGGAUAAGCACCAGAAAUGGUGUCUAAUACCGCAUGUGCUCUUCGGAGGAAAGCUUCGGCGCUUUGGGAACGGCCUGCGCAUGAUUAGCUUGUUGGUGAGGUAAUAGCUCACCAAGGCGACGAUCAUUAGCUGGUCUGAGAGGAUGAUCAGCCAGACUGGGACUGAGAACGGCCCAGACUCCUACGGGAGGCAGCAGUAGGGAAUUUUCCACAAUGGGCGAAAGCCUGAUGGAGCAACGCCGCGUGCAGGAUGAAUGCCUUCGGGUUGUAAACUGUCUUUUAUAUGUGACGAAUAUGACGGUAGCAUAUAGAAUAAGGAUCGGCUAACUCCGUGCCAGCAGCCGC
This 457-nucleotide ribosomal RNA is filed under the name uncultured bacterium. RNAcentral describes it as "SSU rRNA". It matches the Rfam family "Bacterial small subunit ribosomal RNA", at positions 26 to 518 of the family's 1533-position model. The record is from RNAcentral.